UAAACUUUGCUGCUGUCGUUCACGCAGAGGCCCCACAAUCAUCAGCCACCAACGCCCACAUCCCUCGUUCCCUUACUGACUCAUACUUACCUGACACGGCGUUGGGCCUGUACUUGGAAGCAUCUUCGGAUUCGGAUCCUUCUAAGUACUUGGUCACCUCCUCAAUGUAUCUGACCCAAAGCGAAAUCCUCAGGUAUUCGGCCGACAGAGGCAUUACUUCUGCAGCUGCCUCCACCGCUUCGCAUUUGGCGCCAUGGACUCCACCGCCCGGUGUCGAUGUUUCUACUGCCGUUGAACCCCUCCUCGCCGGCAUCAAGCGUUCUAAUGAAGCUUGGUAUUCUACCAAAUCUUUAGCGAAGCGUUCUAGAUUCGAGAGCGCAAGCAAUUUGCCUAUGUAUCCACAGAGGCCAGGAGAGAAGGACUGUGCCUACUAUAUGCUCACAAGAACCUGUAAAUUUGGAGAUAGCUGCAAGUUUGACCAUCCUAUUUGGGUUCCUGAGGGUGGAAUCCCAAAUUGGACAGAGGUCCCCAUUGCUACCAUUGAAUCCCUUCCUGAGAGACUAGGUCAGCCUGAUUGUCCUUUUCAGGAUGGUUUGGAAAACACCGAUGUUUCUGCCUUACCAGAGAGGCCUUCUGAACCACAAUGUGCAUUCUAUAUGAAGACUGGGAAAUGCAAGUUUGGAGUAACAUGCAAAUUUCAUCAUCCGAAAGAUAUCCAGAUCCUAUUGGGACAAGAAAAUGGUAAUGCUGUGCAGACUGAAUCAGCAGUUAAGAUGGAUGAAGUAACUGGAGCUGGACAUGUCAGUGUGGUUAAUUCCAUCUCGUUUGACCCAGCCUCAUUUCAUAAUUCCAAAGGACUUCCAAUCAGACCGGGUGAACUGGAUUGUCCGUUCUACCUGAAAACUGGCAGUUGCAAGUAUGGUGCCACUUGUCGUUAUAAUCAUCCUCAUAGGAAUGGUAUGUGCACUCUGAUGCUUUUUGUUUGAGACUUGACAUUCUGAAUUCUAUUGUCUUCAGAACUCAUCCUUCAACACUUGUGCUUCAAAUUUUAUUGCUUAUGUCCUCCUUGCCCUUCUAUCCAUUGUUUGAUUUUUACAACCUUUUAGACGAGUAUAAUUGCUGAUAUUUUGCAGCAAUCAAUCCACCUGCUGCUGCUAUAGGGCAUUCCAUUGUAGCCACUCCUGCAGCUAAUCUGAACAUUGGGGUUGUUCCAGCUGCCUCAAUUUUUCAAACUCUUGACCCUAGAUUGGCGCAUUCAACGGUAAAUAAGACAUCAUAAGAAUAUACCUUUUUCAAUUGGUUCUGUUUCUUUGAAAGAACCAUAUUUCUUGUGUGAAUGUAUGUGUGUGCAAUACACAGUGUGCACUAUGCAUGUGUGGGUGCUGGUGAAUAUAUGAGUCAACAGGAAUAAGAACCAUAACAAGUGGUUGGGGAUGGGGAGGGAGGUCAGGGGCUAUUGUUGAGGGCAUUUAGCUUAAAGUUCAUGAAUUAUGAUUGCAGUUAAAAGGGUGUUCUUUCGCAUGUAUUCUCAUAUUUUAGCGAGAAAAGUAGCCUCAAGUGAGGCUAACGUGGUAGGGGAUGGUGUUUGGCGUAAAGUUAACGAUGACGGUUACCUUGCAAUAAUAACUGUUGUGUGCUUGACAGCUUUUUGGCUUCUAUUCGCUUAACAAAAGGGUAAAUUACUAUUUUGUCUCUAAUUUUUGCCAUUAUUAAUACUUUUGUUCAUUUAUUUUGGAAAAUAGAUUAUUACCAAUAUGUCUCUUAAGAUUUGGUUCCUUUUAAUAAAUUGGCCCUCUGUCCAUUUUUCCAUUUCUUUGAUAAUUUAAAAUGGUUUAUAGAGAAGCCAGCCCCUAGCUCUUUUCAUGUCUUUGUAGGAUCAGGAGCAAUGUGCAAUUCUUCCAGCGCUUGUGCUAUAUAAUAGAUUCUUAGGGGUAGAAAUCAUGAAAGCACUGAUGGUUUAUUGUCAUAGAAUGCUUCUCUGCCAUGGACAAGAAGCUCACUUUUGAUUCCUGGCUAUACACAAUUUUUUUUUCUUCUUUUU
This 2041-nucleotide unclassified non-coding RNA is filed under the name Hevea brasiliensis (rubber tree). Lineage: Eukaryota; Viridiplantae; Streptophyta; Magnoliopsida; Malpighiales; Euphorbiaceae. The record is from RNAcentral.